CUUAGACUCUCUCCUCUCUCAACUCUCAACCCUAGGUUAUAGCCUCCACCACCGCCGUAAGGAGAGACUCGCCAAUCGCAGCUUCUUCUUCGAGCUCGGUGUCCGAUGUUGUCUUCUUCUACUCAGCCCCACUUCAUAUGGCUUCCUGUUGUGGCUCCAUGGACUGUGGUAACUAAGAAGAUUAUAGCUGCUGCAGAAACUAUUAGAAGCACCAAAAUUCCAACAACUAAUGCUACAUUGCUACUACAGGAAUAAGUACAUUGUUUUUCAUCUUCUCAAUUGUUUCGAUGUGUUGGUUGCAUGAUAAUGCAGAACUACAUAGCUAAUCUUAAUGCAGAGAAGAUGAAUAACUGGUAGUGGUUGUAACAGAAGCAAUUUAACUAACUUCCUUCGAUGGAAUCUCCUCUUUCUCUUGAAUUCUGGAAACAGCAUCAUGGGUUUGCUUAACCUAAAACUCAAUUAUAAUGCUUCUUCUCCUGCUAUUCACUCUCCUUUCUCUUUCAACAAUCACUCAUCUAUCACACUUUCUUCUUAUCAGUUCAAUUCUUUCCUCAUUUCAUUUCAUGUAAUCAUAUAUUCAUGUUCUGUUUCUCUUUCAUAAUUAGUUGCUCUUUUUAUUCAUUAAAAAAUUAAUUUGCUUAUUUAUUUUUUAAUUCAAUUUGCAUACUUAAUAGCUGUUAUGACAUAGUUUGUUUAUUCAAGCUUUAGUUUUAAGGUUAACUCAUGGUCUAGUUAUGAUUAAAUUAAAAAUAUAUGGUUUUUCUAGCUAGAAGUAGGGGAAUACAAUUUCAAGUUUCUAGCACAAAAUAAAAAAGAGACAAAAAAACAAAAUUGAAGCCUUUCUCUUAAUUGCUGUGUUUUUAUUUCUUCUUGUUUGUUCUGAAUUUUUGUUACAACUUGAUUUAGCUGGAGGCAGGGAAGCAACUUUCAACUCAACGAGGCUAUCAUUGCUUUUGACGGUAAAUGAAGAAAGAGAAGUAUCCCAGAGAAGCUUUCUAACAACAUUCACUUAUUUGUCAUUAAAAUUGGAAACCUUGGACAAUAAUUCUUUAGAGUGUUUUAUUUAUAAUGAUGUUUUAGAGUAUUUAUUUAUAAUUUAUUAUUUUUAUUAUAAAA
This is a long non-coding RNA of Arachis stenosperma, 1116 nucleotides long. RefSeq lists it as uncharacterized. The transcript has 2 exons. NCBI's taxonomy places the organism in Eukaryota, Viridiplantae, Streptophyta, Magnoliopsida, Fabales, Fabaceae. The record is from RefSeq and is a predicted model, not a curated record.